UACGGGGGGGGCAAGCGUUGUUCGGAAUUACUGGGCGUAAAGGGUUCGUAGGUGGCCAACUAAGUCAUACGUGAAAUCCCUCAGCUUAACUGGGGAACUGCGUCUGAUACUGGUUGGCUUGAGUGCAGGAGAGGAACGCGGAAUUCCAGGUGUAGCGGUGAAAUGCGUAGAUAUCUGGAGGAACACCGGUGGCGAAGGCGGCGUUCUGGACUGCAGCUGACACUGAGGAACGAAAGCCAGGGGAGCAAACGGG
RNAcentral lists this ribosomal RNA (253 nucleotides) under uncultured bacterium. Its description in RNAcentral is "partial 16S ribosomal RNA". It matches the Rfam family "Bacterial small subunit ribosomal RNA", at positions 524 to 776 of the family's 1533-position model. The record is from RNAcentral.